AGUGCAGUGUGGUGUUGCAAACGGAAAACUGAGCGGAGAAUAGUCAUUUUAGUACAUUUCAGUUAUUUUCUGUUUCUUUGCCAGGGUUUUAGUCAAUGUCUAACACUGACAUCAAGUGGAUGUAAGUGGAAUAGCAGACCUGAGACAUUAUCAGAAUAUUGUGCCUUGUGGCCCUUACAAAUACAAAAAAUAAUGACUUAAUGAAAAUUAGCAUGCAAUGAAAACGUGGUUGAUCUAGAGGUUCAGCAAACGAUUUUAAUUGUUCACAGUGACAUUGUUUAUUUUAAUUGGCAUGAUAUUUGACCAAAUUUUACCAUGACAAGAUGCAAGGUAAAUAUGGAGUCAAUAUGACAAAUAUUAGUUGAGUAUUUGUAUUUACUCACCUAAUAAUUGUAUUAUUAUUUCACUUAAAAAUAAAACAGUGUGAAGGUUGUGAUUUCAGUGUGAUGUCUUUAUGGGGUGAGUUUUCCAAGAUGUGCACAAUUAGUUUGAUAUCCUGAGAGCUGUGAAUUGUUAGACAUGGUUUAAAAUACCUUGAUAUUUUUAUGAAGAUAGCUAAAUGAAUAAUUAAAAUACCUAAAUGAUUACAAAGCAUCUUCAAAACAUAUGAAAUAAGAAAAUAUAUAAUUUAAAUCCAGUGUUGCACUAUUUUUUCACCAAGAUCUUGCAUUGGUGAUGGUAGAGUCUGAAAGUUAAAGUGCGCGGCAUCAUAAUAUUUUUUUUUGAAGGCUAUAAACUAUUUUUAUAUGAAUAUUAUAGUUAUAUCUUCUAUAAUAAUAAUAAAUAAUGUUCUGUUUACGAUUAUAAUUGUUAUUAUUAGUAAUAAUAUUAUUGAAAAAAUAAGCAUACGGGUCUUUUAGGGGCGGGAGCGCGCACUGUGUAUAAGAUUAGAUUUAUUUGUUUUUAUUUAAACUGUUUCUGAGCUUCAGAGCCGCAGCAGCAGUUCCGGAGAGAGAUUUCACUACUACUACUGACCCACCGCCUGAUUUAUCCUUUAUACUGUUAAUUAUAUCUAUAUUUCUUUUAAUUAUUCUGUAAUUGUUGUGUUUUCUGUGUUGUUGUUGUUGUUGUUUUGUUUGUUUUUUGUUGUUUUUUCUUUUUCAGGUAACCGGAUCGUUGUGAGGACCGACGCCCCGCGGUCGGAUAUGGACUGGCGGCAGACUUUUAGCGUCCAUCCACCUGAGGCGGAGUCUGGAGCUCCAGAGUCUUCACCUCCUCACACUCCGCCUCUUUCGGUGAGUCUCUUUUAAACUGCUACACCUCUAACGAGGCUGAAGUUGGUUUGAUAUUCGCAGCUCCAGAUUCGUUUGGCUCGAUAUU
This 1320-nucleotide long non-coding RNA is filed under the name Astyanax mexicanus (Mexican tetra). RNAcentral's name for it is "lncRNA (ENSAMXG00005006313.1)". The record is from RNAcentral. Lineage: Eukaryota; Metazoa; Chordata; Actinopteri; Characiformes; Acestrorhamphidae.